ACAGAUUUCAUGAGUUCAAGAAGUAGUAUUUUCUACACAAGGUAUGGGACCAAUUGAACAUUCAGUUUACGGAUUUGGUACACUGAGAUGUUUCUGCCAGGAGAUUAAGGUCGAGUUAAUCAUAUAAAACAAUUUUAGCAUUGAGAUAUGUGGUCGAGUGAAUUUGAUUCAUCGAUUAUGGUUUGGAGAAUAAGCCAAAGAUCACACAGAAAAUCUUUGGGAACUUAGCCAAGAAUUUUGGAGUAGAUAAAAGACCAUGGAGUUUUAAAGCUUCGAGGAUAUGUUAGAGUAUGACCUGAAUGUUAAAGAAGCUAUUAUUGCUGAAGAAUUUAACCAAGUCAUGCAGACCGUUUAUUUUCUAACUGCUGCAGAUCAUAGGUCAGUUUCAAGCAGUGAGUUAAGUAAGUCAAUGGAGAUGAUUUUGGGUGUACAUUUCAUCAGAUCAAGAUCGAGGACCUUGAGCCAUUAUGGUUGUGACUAGCAAGGAUAGAAUGGUCGUGACUGUCAAAGUGUGGGAAAUCCUGGAACAUUUUCAUUAUUCGCGCUUUGGUGGUUCUUGUGAAAAGUUAGGAUUUUAGGUUACCCUUCCUCAUGAAGUUACCCGAUCUACGUUACCUAUACCUAAGAUAACACUUGUUGAACUUGUUUGCUUUUCCUUACCGUUAGUCCACACCCAAGUGUUAGGCUAUUUUGGUAGAGCCUACACUUUAUAGUUGCUUGUACCGUCAAAACCCCUGAAAGGUCCAAUCACAGGUUUGCUUCUUAUCCCAUUGUGUGUUGUGUGCAUUUUUAAAAUUUUAUGAAUGAUUGAAAUAAAAAACAAUUAUGUGAAUUGUGAUCAAUGUAUCGUAGGAGACCUUGCCUAUGGAUGGAAUUCUCCGCCCAUAUUGUGUUUUAUUCGGGAACAACACAUAGUUGUAGUUCCCGAGCACUGUCAUAGUAUUAGAAGGGAUUCACUUUUGUGAAUUCAAGUCUACCGUUCUUAUUCUUGGAAGUAUUGGCUGCCAGUUAAAUUAAUGGUACGCCUUCCCCAUUCCAUAAUACUUCCGUUAGAGCGGUAUGUUUCUAUCUAGAAUGAGAUUGGCUAUCUAGCUACCGAGCUCAAU
RNAcentral lists this long non-coding RNA (1106 nucleotides) under Brassica napus (rape). RNAcentral describes it as "long non-coding RNA (BNAP_LNC005466)". Lineage: Eukaryota; Viridiplantae; Streptophyta; Magnoliopsida; Brassicales; Brassicaceae. The record is from RNAcentral.